This 471-nucleotide ribosomal RNA is filed under the name uncultured bacterium. Its description in RNAcentral is "bacterial SSU rRNA". It matches the Rfam family "Bacterial small subunit ribosomal RNA", at positions 29 to 478 of the family's 1533-position model. The record is from RNAcentral.
AACGAACGCUGGCGGCGUGGAUAAGACAUGCAAGUCGAACGGGAACUUCAGCUGUAGCAAUACAGUUGAAGUUUUAGUGGCGAACGGGUGCGUAACACGUGGGCAAUCUGCCGAGAAGUGGGGGAUAGCUCGCCGAAAGGCGAAUUAAUACCGCAUAUGAUCAGCUAAGACAUCUUAGCGACAUCAAAGCCGGGGCAACCUGGCGCUUUUUGAGGAGCCCGCGGCCUAUCAGCUAGUUGGUGAGGUAACGGCUCACCAAGGCUAUGACGGGUAGCUGGUCUGAGAGGACGACCAGUCACACUGGAACUGAGACACGGUCCAGACACCUACGGGUGGCAGCAGUCGAGAAUUUUUCUCAAUGGGGCAACCCUGAAGGAGCGACGCCGCGUGGAGGAUGAAGGCUUUCGGGUUGUAAACUCCUGUCAUUUGAGAACAAGGUGCAUCGGUUAACUGCCGAUGCAUUGAUAGUAU